GACUUGCACUUGUAUUCAACGGUCGCUAGAGAGUGAAAAGCGACCAUGCUAAAUUUUAAGAUAAAUUAAAAAAGAACAUAAAAGACGCAUGUAUCCUUGUUUAUAUAUAUAUCCAAAUCAGACGCUAUCAUCUAUGUGAUUAAUGGUGAUUGGUUGAUAAAUAGAAACUAUUUAAUGCAAAAAUAAGUUUUGUUGUCCAC
Molecule: long non-coding RNA, 200 nt
Filed under: Sorghum bicolor (sorghum)
Lineage: Eukaryota; Viridiplantae; Streptophyta; Magnoliopsida; Poales; Poaceae
Description: long non-coding RNA (SBIC_LNC002086)
Source: RNAcentral